AAGCCGGUGGCGCAAUGGUAGCGCGUCCGACUCCAGAUUAGAAGGUUGCGUGUUCGAAUCACGUCCGGCUCG
Molecule: transfer RNA, 72 nt
Filed under: Centruroides sculpturatus (bark scorpion)
Lineage: Eukaryota; Metazoa; Arthropoda; Arachnida; Scorpiones; Buthidae
Description: tRNA-Trp
Rfam family: tRNA
About the family: Transfer RNA (tRNA) molecules are approximately 80 nucleotides in length. Their secondary structure includes four short double-helical elements and three loops (D, anti-codon, and T loops).
Source: RNAcentral